Pseudonaja textilis is the source of this 158-nucleotide non-coding RNA. The record is from RefSeq and is a predicted model, not a curated record. NCBI's taxonomy places the organism in Eukaryota, Metazoa, Chordata, Lepidosauria, Squamata, Elapidae.
AUAUAGUGAUUGUUUGAAUUAUGGCUGUCCCAUAAAUUAGAAAUAGAGAAAGAGAAAAGACUAAUUCAGCAACUCAAGGAUGAGGAAGGGAUAGUGUAUUAUCAGAUGGAGGAGAAAAAGAGAAUUGCGCAAAGGUAUUUUGGUGAGCUUUAUAAUCA